This 19-nucleotide unclassified non-coding RNA is filed under the name Mus musculus (house mouse). Its description in RNAcentral is "oocyte_clustered_small_RNA14139". The record is from RNAcentral. Lineage: Eukaryota; Metazoa; Chordata; Mammalia; Rodentia; Muridae.
AAGCAAAGCCUCUCCAUGG